AUACGGAGGAUGCAAGCGUUAUCCGGAUUUAUUGGGUUUAAAGGGUGCGUAGGCGGUUUGCUAAGCGGGAGGUGAAAUGCCGGCGCUCAACGUCGGAAGUGCCUCCCGAACUGGUGGACUUGAAUGACUCUGCCGUGGGAGGAAUGGGUAGUGUAGCGGAUAAAUGCUUAGAGAUUACACAGAACACCGAUUGCGAAGGCAUCUCACGAAGGGUUGAUUGACGCUGAGGCACGAAAGCGUGGGGAUCAAACAGGAUUAGAUACCCUGGUAGUCCACGCAGUAAACGAUGAUGGCUAACCGCUGGGCUUAUCAGUUCAGUGGCCAAGCGAAAGCGAUAAGCCAUCCACCUGGGGAGUACGACCGCAAGGUUGAAACUCAAAUGAAUUGGCGGGG
Molecule: ribosomal RNA, 393 nt
Filed under: uncultured bacterium
Lineage: Bacteria
Description: partial 16S ribosomal RNA
Rfam family: Bacterial small subunit ribosomal RNA
Source: RNAcentral